AUUCCAAUCGGAAUGUUCCCAGGAGGAGGCAGUUGAAGCUGGCCAGGGAGAGAAACUGGUAUUUGAUUCUCUCUCUCUGGGGGUGACUGGCCAAGAAAGGAGACUUUGGCUCUCUGGAGUUUUUUCUGACCAAGGGAGGUGCAACAAUAAAUGGAUGGCUGCAGUCAAAGGAAAAACUGAUCUUCAUUGUACAAGAGCAACAUUGCAAAGCCAAAGGAAGUUCUCUUUGAAGAAUACAACACUGAAUAGAUAAGCAAUUAGACAAGUUAGCAUAAUAUACUUGCAAGACAUAAAUAUAAAACAAUUUUUGUAGGGAGAGAGCCUUUAGUAAAUGGGGAACUAAGGUUAGGCCUUUUGAUGGAGGCCAAUCCUGAUGUGCAGUAUAAAAGAACUUGAGUAUUUUUAGUGGAAGUGAGACUGGAGUACACACCAUAAAGGGGGGAACAACUCCCCUUAGAUUGACUCUGAAGGAAAGUGUUGGAGUGAAGAGGUAUUAGACUUCCUACCAAACUGAAGGUCUACAGAGAGCUAUUACACUAGCUUCAUUGUUGUAUGCCAGUGAAAUAUGGACAGUAUACCAGUGUCAUGCUAGGAAAUUGAAUUGCUUCCAUUUGAAUUGUAUUAGGAAGAUUCUAAAGACCACCUACCAAGAUAAGAUACCAGACACUGAGAUACUUUCUCUAACUAAACUACAAAGCAUUCAAACUCUGCUGUAGGAUGUGUGACAUGGAUGGUCUGUCCACAUUGUUUGAAUGCCAAAUGCAUAUUUACUUAAAAGACAAUUUAAUGGAGAACUCACAUUGCAUGAAAGUCAGAAGAGAUAAAAGGACCUUCUAAAUGUCUCCUUUAAGAACUUUUCUAUUGAUUGUGAAACAUGGGAGACACUGGCACAGGACUGUCCAGCUCUGUGCUCUAUGAGUAAAGAAGAAUUGUAGUUGUUUAAAAAAAAAAUGCUGAGCACAAAUUUCGAAACAUCUACAUCCCAAAUGUGCAUAACCUAUGGUGGAGACUUCUGAUCUCAUAUUGAUCCAAUCAGCCACUGUCAAAAACACUGUUCAUUGAUCCCAAUGUAACGAUGUAAUUUUGGUACUCUUUAAGUAUGAAAGACAACUACCAACCAUUUUAACCCUUUGGGAAAUCAGUUCAACUUCAUGACUUCUACAUAAGAGAUCUUUGUCUCCUUAUCUUAUCACCAAUCAUUUAUAAAGAUAUCCCAGUGAUAGAUUUCUCUUCACUAUAUCCUCUUCCAUUCCUGUCUCACAUAAAGAAAUAGUGUUUUCCCUUGGCAAAGUAAACCUUGCAUAUGCUUCCUUAAGCAUAUUAUAUCCUGUAUUCUUGAGCAGGCAGCUUUUCUCUCUCAAUCUUUUAUCUUUCCUUAUCUACUAUUUCCCUCUACUUACAAACAUCCAUAUUUUCUCCAUAUUAAAGAAAAAUAACUUAUUUUAACUCCAUAUCAUUUAUAAAUGUACUUAAAUCUUUCAUAUUCCCAACUAAUUUCCUUGAGAAAAGCCUUUCAAACUUGAUGACCCAUUCUCUGAUUCAAUUCUAAUCUUCUUGAAGUCUGGAUUUCAAACUGAUUAUGAAACUGCUGUUUCCAAAAUUAUAAUAAUCUCUUAAUUGUUUGAUCGAAUAGAUUUCCCCCUUGUUAUCAUUUUUAGAUUUUCUGACUUGUGACCUUCUGAGAGACUCAUAGUCAUUAUGUUUUCUUUACAUAUAUCCUGAAUCAGAGAUCAGUAUGAUUUUCAUGUAGAGUAAGGUUUCUGUUAAUGUUAUUGCUUUUGGCUUCUCUUCUUCUAGAUUGUCCUUUAUUUCCUUGUAUUUCUAUUCCUAAUAAGUUAUUUGAGGCAGCUAGAUGGCUCAGUGUUAAAGCACUAAGCCUAUAGUCAUAAAGACAAGUUAAAAUCCAGUCUUACAUACUAGCUGUGUCACAUUGGGCAUGUUACUUAAUCUCUGUUUGCCUUAAUCCACUAGAAAAGGAAAUGGAAAAUACUCUAGUAUCUUUGCUAAAAACAAAAAACAAAAUUAUGGACAGUAUGUUCCAGAGGGUCAUGAAGAGUCUAAUAUGAUUGAAUGACAACAAUAAAAUAAGUUAUUUUCUCCA
Molecule: long non-coding RNA, 2101 nt
Organism: Monodelphis domestica (gray short-tailed opossum)
Lineage: Eukaryota; Metazoa; Chordata; Mammalia; Didelphimorphia; Didelphidae
Source: Ensembl